Molecule: ribosomal RNA, 467 nt
Filed under: uncultured bacterium
Lineage: Bacteria
Description: bacterial SSU rRNA
Rfam family: Bacterial small subunit ribosomal RNA
Source: RNAcentral
UGCCAGACUCCUACGGGAGGCAGCAGUGAGGAAUAUUGGUCCAUGGUCGGGAGACUGAACCAGCCAAGCCGCGUGAGGGAUGAAGGUACAGAGUAUCGUAAACCUCUUUUGUCAGGGAACAAAGGCGGGGAUGUGUCCCCGGAUGAGUGUACCUGAAGAAAAAGCAUCGGCUAACUCCGUGCCAGCAGCCGCGGUAAUACGGAGGAUGCGAGCGUUAUCCGGAUUUACUGGGUGUAAAGGGCGUGCAGCCGGGAAGACAAGUCAGAUGUGAAAUCCCGCGGCUCAACCGCGGAACUGCAUUUGAAACUGUUUUUCUUGAGUAUCGGAGAGGUAAUCGGAAUUCCUAGUGUAGCGGUGAAAUGCGUAGAUAUUAGGAAGUACACCAGUGGCGAAGGCGGAUUACUGGACGACAACUGACGGUGAGGCGCGAAAGCGUGGGGAGCAAACAGGAUUAGAUACCCUGGUAC